Molecule: ribosomal RNA, 1168 nt
Filed under: Kineococcus sp.
Lineage: Bacteria; Bacillati; Actinomycetota; Actinomycetes; Kineosporiales; Kineosporiaceae
Description: bacterial SSU rRNA
Rfam family: Bacterial small subunit ribosomal RNA
Source: RNAcentral
UGGGUGGAAAGUUUUUCGGCUGGGGAUGGGCUCGCGGCCUAUCAGCUUGUUGGUGGGGUGAUGGCCUACCAAGGCGACGACGGGUAGCCGGCCUGAGAGGGCGACCGGCCACACUGGGACUGAGACACGGCCCAGACUCCUACGGGAGGCAGCAGUGGGGAAUAUUGCACAAUGGGCGAAAGCCUGAUGCAGCGACGCCGCGUGAGGGAUGACGGCCUUCGGGUUGUAAACCUCUUUCAGCUCCGAAAAAGCGCAAGUGACGGUAGGAGCAAAAAAAGCACCGGCUAACUACGUGCCAGCAGCCGCGGUAAUACGUAGGGUGCAAGCGUUGUCCGGAAUUAUUGGGCGUAAAGAGCUCGUAGGCGGUGUGUCGCGUCUGCUGUKRAAACUCAGGGCUCAACUCUGAGCUUGCAGUGGGUACGGGCACACUUGAGUGCUGUAGGGGAGACUGGAAUUCCUGGUGUAGCGGUGAAAUGCGCAGAUAUCAGGAGGAACACCGGUGGCGAAGGCGGGUCUCUGGGCAGUUACUGACGCUGAGGAGCGAAAGCAUGGGGAGCGAACAGGAUUAGAUACCCUGGUAGUCCAUGCCGUAAACGUUGGGCGCUAGGUGUGGGGUCCAUUCCACGGAUUCCGUGCCGCAGCUAACGCAUUAAGCGCCCCGCCUGGGGAGUACGGCCGCAAGGCUAAAACUCAAAGGAAUUGACGGGGGCCCGCACAAGCGGCGGAGCAUGCGGAUUAAUUCGAUGCAACGCGAAGAACCUUACCAAGGCUUGACAUGCGCGGUGGAAUCCCAGAGAUGGGGUGUCAUUUAGUUGGUCGCGUACAGGUGGUGCAUGGUUGUCGUCAGCUCGUGUCGUGAGAUGUUGGGUUAAGUCCCGCAACGAGCGCAACCCUCGUUCCAUGUUGCCAGCACGUAGUGGUGGGGACUCAUGGGAGACUGCCGGGGUCAACUCGGAGGAAGGUGGGGAUGACGUCAAAUCAUCAUGCCCCUUAUGUCUUGGGCUUCACGCAUGCUACAAUGGCCAGUACAGAGGGCUGCGAUACCGUGAGGUGGAGCGAAUCCCAAAAAGCUGGUCUCAGUUCGGAUCGGGGUCUGCAACUCGACCCCGUGAAGUCGGAGUCGCUAGUAAUCGCAGAUCAGCAACGCUGCGGUGAAUACGUUCCCGGU